This 407-nucleotide ribosomal RNA is filed under the name uncultured bacterium. RNAcentral's name for it is "bacterial SSU rRNA". It matches the Rfam family "Bacterial small subunit ribosomal RNA", at positions 354 to 777 of the family's 1533-position model. The record is from RNAcentral.
GUGGGGAAUAUUGCACAAUGGGGGGAACCCUGAUGCAGCGACGCCGCGUGAGUGAAGAAGUAUUUCGGUACGUAAAGCUCUAUCAGCAGGGAAGAAAAAGGACGGUACCUGAGUAAGAAGCCCCGGCUAACUACGUGCCAGCAGCCGCGGUAAUACGUAGGGGGCAAGCGUUAUCCGGAAUUACUGGGUGUAAAGGGAGCGUAGACGGAUAAGCAAGUCCGGAGUGGAAUGCAUCAGCUCAACUGAUGAACUGCUCUGGAAACUGUUAAUCUGGAGUGCAGGAGGGGUAAGUGGAAUUCCUGGUGUAGCGGUGAAAUGCGUAGAUAUCAGGAGGAACACCGGUGGCGAAGGCGGCUUACUGGACUGUAACUGACGUUGAGGCUCGAAAGCGUGGGGAGCAAACAGGA